CCUACGGGUGGCAGCAGUGGGGGAUAUUGCACAAUGGGGGAAACCCUGAUGCAGCGACGCCGCGUGGGUGAAGAAGCGCCUCGGCGCGUAAAGCCCUGUCAGCAGGGAAGAAAAUGACGGUACCUGAAGAAUAAGCCCCGGCUAACUACGUGCCAGCAGCCGCGGUAAUACGUAGGGGGCAAGCGUUAGCCGGAUGUACUGGGUGUAAAGGGGGCGCAGACGGGGAUGCAAGCCAGGAGUGAAAGCCCGGGGCCCAACCCCGGGACUGCUCUUGGAACUGCGUGGCUAGAGUGCAGGAGGGGCAGGCGGAAUUCCAGGUGUAGCGGUGAAAUGCGUAGAUAUAAGGAGGAACACCGGUGGCGAAGGCGGCCUGCUGGACUGCAACUGACGUUGAGGUCCGAAAGCGUGGGGAGCAAACAGGAUUAGAUACCCCUGUAGUC
RNAcentral lists this ribosomal RNA (440 nucleotides) under uncultured bacterium. RNAcentral describes it as "partial 16S ribosomal RNA". It matches the Rfam family "Bacterial small subunit ribosomal RNA", at positions 338 to 795 of the family's 1533-position model. The record is from RNAcentral.